Molecule: ribosomal RNA, 433 nt
Filed under: uncultured bacterium
Lineage: Bacteria
Description: partial 16S ribosomal RNA
Rfam family: Bacterial small subunit ribosomal RNA
Source: RNAcentral
AACGAACGCUGGCGGCAUGCCUAACACAUGCAAGUCGAACGAAACCUUCGGGUCUAUUCGCCCCCGAGUUCGUCACGCGUGGGAACCUGCCCUCAUGGUCGGCAUAACUCCCCGACAGGGGUACCAAUACCGGAUAAUGUCUUCUACCCAAUGAUUUAUCGACUUUGGAUGGGCCCUCGUUGGAUUAGCUAGUUGGUACGGUAAAAGCCUACCAAGGCGACCAUCCAUAGCUGGGCUGAGAGGAUGAUCAGCGACACUGGGACUGGGACACGGCCCAGACUCUUACGGGAGGGAGCAGUGGGGAAUAGAGGAAAAUGGGCGAAAGCAUGAUGCAGCAAGGACGCGAGAGUGAUGAAGGCAGUAGGGUUGUAAAGCGCUAGUAACCGGGAUGAUAAUGACAGUACCGGGAGAAUAAGCCCCGGCUAACUACGUG